Molecule: long non-coding RNA, 2629 nt
Organism: Vespula pensylvanica (western yellowjacket)
Lineage: Eukaryota; Metazoa; Arthropoda; Insecta; Hymenoptera; Vespidae
Exons: 3
Source: RefSeq, a predicted model, not a curated record
AAGUUUGCAAUAUCGUCUCGUCGUUGCGAUAUGUCGUAAAAGAGUAUAAUGUCGUAAAAACGUCGAUAGUUAAUGUAAACGAAGGAAGAACGAGGUGACCGAGUUGUCAUACGUCGAUACGAUAAACUCGUUUUAUUCCAUAGUAAUCGUCGCUUAAGAAUUCCACGUGGCCUUUUAUCUAACGCACAAUUCUCACCUUUCACUCGACAAACGAUCUAUAGGAGGACGUAAAAGGAACGGCAUUAGAUCGUUGCCACGUCAAUUAAGGUUUAUCACGUUCGACAGGCAUCGUUGUCAUUUUAAAAGAAAGUUACGAUUUACUAAGUUUCUUGAAAUAAAAAGAAUAUUGUGUGGUCAGAAGCAGAAACCGUUCAUGCGGUAGAACGCAGACAUUAUCGUGGAGUUUACUGGUCAGGGUAGCUUAACUCGGCCAGCUUGCUUCUUUAAUUUUGAGUAUGCCGACGAACGGGUAGGUACCCAUUAACGACCAUUUCGAGGUAUCUCUUGGAAAGUACAAGAGGAAAGGGACGGUGGCCGUGCUUGUUUUCGUGAGCUGACUUUGACUUGGAAUUGUACCAAGAGGCUACACGUGCCACCGAGUAAGCAUCAUACGAUUAUAGUAACUUGAAACAUCUUGCAAAGAAUUUCCGAGAGCACGAUGGGCAAAUCUUAUGAAAAAAGGCGGUCUUUAGUUUGCAACCGAGUGAUGCAAUCGAAAGGAAAACGACGAACGUAAUUUAAUUUUUAUUUUUGCCAAAUAUUGAUAGAUUUAACUAUAUAACUUUGAAAUUUUCAAGUUGGAUCUUAGUUAAAAUCCCUAUAGUUCAUUCUCGAAUCUCAUGUUCGUUCGGAACGCUUUUCACAGGCACAACGUGAUUAGGCGAUCGUUUUAAUCGACGAUAACGUAAACAUUUAGAACAUGCUUACAAGUGAGAUCCUUCUAAUCUAUUUCUAUUUACGUGCACGCGUAUGGAGUUUGAAUGUCAAUCAUUUUCAUUUAAACGUACUAUCUCUACAAAGUUUGUUUCCGAAAUCGUUUGAAGUACGAGACCAUUGACGGAGUAGAUGCGUUAAAUCAAUGACUGUCUCUGCCGUUCAAGUAGAUCUUACGCAAUUUUUGAAAAUUAUGACAAGAUCGGUAAAUAAUUUAUUUUGAUUUGAAAGUCUUGAAAUUUAUAAACGGAAUAUAAGUAUUUAGCCAAAUGUUCCGGUAAAUCAGCUACGUAUAUUUUAGAUUUAAUUAGAGCUUCUCACGAACCUGGGUGAUCCCAUGCAUCAUCGUAUUUUGGUAUCGCGGAAGUAUAUUCCUCAUUUUGUCAUAAACGUCAGAUUAGAGUAGCUAACAUCUGUUAACACUGCCAUCGAGAUAGUUCGAUUAAACGUCGAUGGGAAUAGAAUAAAAAAAUAAAAAAAUUCAUUAUUUAUGACUCAGUCUACGAUCGCGUAGGUCUAGAACGAUUUGAUAAAUAUAAAUUUCACUUGGAUUCUCGAAUAGUAACAAUAUACUUAUUCUCGAAAAAUCAUUUCGAGUUAUCGAAACGGAGUCUCUCCUCGAAAUAUCUAUUGAAAGUUUACGGGUUUCUGGAAAAGGCUUUAACGAUCGUCCAACGUUAACCCAGUUACUCCGGUAUAUCUGCGAGGGCGAUUUGCGAUAUAGCCAACGAGGAACACCAUAAAUCAGCGUAUUUCGGUAUCGCGGAAGCCAAGCCACUGGUAUUUAUAUAACUCGACGUUCGUGCUGCGCGUCUUGAGGAGAGAGAUGCAUCAUUCUCCUCUCUCUUUUUCUCUUUCUCUCUCUUUCGAGGAGAGACUCUCUUUGUCGAUUUCUCGCCUAGCUAAUGUGAGAUCUUUGUAGCUCAUUGGUGUCUUGUACACGGCCACGAAAAGGCUGCACGCGCUCGAAUUUGAUACCUAGCCAAGUGUGGUGUCCGAACUCUAUGGACUGACUAACUCGAAACUCGACUAAUAAAUUGAUUCGCAUGAGAUGAGAACAAGGAUGACGAGUAGGUCGUUUCUUGGAUUUUUUUCUUUUCUCUUUACUUUCUUUUUUGUUUAUAUUAUUACGGACAGAUGGUGGAACACGAUAAUUGCGGACAGGAAUUGGAGCGUUUCGUCUCGUCGCGAGUAAAAGCGAAAGAACAAGAUCAGUUUGUCUGUUUUUUAAAGGAUCGGACCGAUCUUGAUGACGUUUCGGAUAUUCGAUUUUCGUUUCGUUCAUUAGUCACGAAAAUUUCGAUUUGCACGCUACAACAAGAUAAAGAUCGUUCAGAAAUUUAUGGCGAUCAUGUACGUACGUGUACUCAGUGAAUUUGUGAUGUAACUAGAAAUCGCCAUUGCGUUUCGUUUUAUCGGUAAGGAGCUUUGAAAAGUACAACAUAUCCUAUUAAAUUUAUCGCCUUCUUUCUCGUAGUAACACCAGUGACCCCCAGCGAUCCCGUAUCCGUACAUUUAUCACAAUCAGUACUCUUGAUUGGUCGACCAUUUGCACGUGGGCGUAUCGAAGAGAAACGGGGAUAUCGUGCGAUCUUUGUCGAGAUAAAGAAAUCGCAUGGAAAGUACACGCCUUCCGCUUUGCAUCUAAUUAAUGCCUUUCUACGGUCAGGAAGAAUUCGAAACGUUUUUCUUUAGC